This 1161-nucleotide long non-coding RNA is filed under the name Bemisia tabaci. RNAcentral's name for it is "lncRNA ENSSSA2NGG012447". The record is from RNAcentral. Lineage: Eukaryota; Metazoa; Arthropoda; Insecta; Hemiptera; Aleyrodidae.
GCCGAGUGUAUCCUAUCCCUCUCAGGGAUCUUACCUGGAAGCCAAUCAGGGGUUAUUUAUCAAGUUAGCCAGCCAGGGCAAAUUGGAUAUCCGGGCGCAUCUGGAAUACCUGGAGCACCUGGAGCCGCAGGAUUACCUGGUCAACCUGGAAUUACCUAUCCUGUUCAAGUUUUCGAAACAUCAUAUCCGAGUUAUCCGGUAUAUCCGACACAAUGCUCAUCCCAGCAAUCGAGCUCUUAUCCAAAUGGAAUUGUGUCGUCUCAGUGCUCGCAGUAUCCAAUUCAAACCUUGUCAAGCUAUCCAACAGGACCAUCCGGAACAUAUUAUCAGCCUGGAAUCUCUAGUCAAUCCGGACUUUCUGGAGUCCCAGCAAGACCUGUUACAGAAACCCCUGAAGAAUCAGAGGUCUUCAGUCAAAAGCCUUUAAAACCUGGUAAUCAGUAUCUACCUAGUCAGCCGGUUUCAAUUAAACCAAGCUACCCAUCGUCGUUCAUUCAAACGACCACAUCUGGGCCAAGUAUAAGCACAUUCAGUCCAGAGGAUAGUCCGUCUUCUUACAAACCAGGACCUGAAGAAUCAGUGCAGGUGACAGAGGUUUACUCGACAACUUACGAUUCCGAGACUGGAAAACCUUUAACUACAGUUUCGUCGAUUCCCACUUUCGAUGAAUCUACAGAACUUCCACAAGAGAUAUCCUCCCUCUAUCCGGGGGUGACUGUGAGACCCGACUCUUCCUCCACUCCAGCCCCAGUGGACGUCAUAGCGUACCCAACUCCAGCCAAUAGCGGAUCUUGCCCUUGUUACUUGGUUAAACCUUUAAAUGGAACGAAGCCAGGUUCUAAUGACAUCUCACCGGAGUUCAUCCAAUCACUGCCACCUGGUGCCUCCAUUGGUUACAUUCCAGUCGUAUUUUAUCCGAACUGCGGCAACACGACUGGGAAUGCUGAAUACGCACAACAUGUGUAUCCAUCAGCGAUCGUAAUGCCAUACUCAUGUGGAUCUUGCCUACAAAAAGAGCCAGAAACGGAAGUUGGCGAAAGUAGUACUUCUAAUCCGUAUAUUUAUCGGAGGAACGGAGCGAAGCCAGGAAAUGCUGGCGUUGUUCUCGACCAUACUUACUCUAAGGGCGUUAAGUCAAUUUGGUGUCAGGACGAGGCCUAG